AGAACGAACGCUGGCGGCAUGCCUAACACAUGCAAGUCGAACGAGACCUUUCGGGGUCUAGUGGCGCACGGGUGCGUAACGCGUGGGAAUCUGCCCCUUGGUUCGGAAUAACAGUUAGAAAUGACUGCUAAUACCGGAUGACGACGUAAGUCCAAAGAUUUAUCGCCGGGGGAUGAGCCCGCGUAGGAUUAGCUAGUUGGUGAGGUAACGGCUCACCAAGGCGACGAUCCUUAGCUGGUCUGAGAGGAUGAUCAGCCACACUGGGACUGAGACACGGCCCAGACUCCUACGGGAGGCAGCAGUGGGGAAUAUUGGACAAUGGGCGAAAGCCUGAUCCAGCAAUGCCGCGUGAGUGAUGAAGGCCUUAGGGUUGUAAAGCUCUUUUACCAGGAUGAUAAUGACAGUACCUGGAGAAUAAGCUCCGGCUAACUCCGCGCCAGCAGCCGC
This 447-nucleotide ribosomal RNA is filed under the name uncultured bacterium. RNAcentral describes it as "SSU rRNA". It matches the Rfam family "Bacterial small subunit ribosomal RNA", at positions 26 to 518 of the family's 1533-position model. The record is from RNAcentral.